GACGCGAAGCCGGGUGAGCUAUCCGUGGGCAGGCUGAAGCGGGGGUAAGACCCCGUGGAGGGCCGAACGCACGUCGGUUGAAAACGGCGGCGAUGACCUGCGGAUAGGGGUGAAAGGCCAAUCAAACCCGGAGAUAUCUCGUUCUCCCCGAAAUAGCUUUAGGGCUAGCGUCGCGCGUUCACCGCCGGAGGUAGAGCACCGGAUGGACGAGGGGGCUUCGCCGCCUACCGAAUCCAACCGAACUCCGAAUGCCGGCGGCCCAGAGCGCGGCAGUCAGAGCAUGUGGGCUAAGCUGUGUGCUCGAGAGGGAAACAGCCCGGACCGCCCGCUAAGGUCCCCAAGUUCCAGCCGAGUGGCAAAGGAUGUGCGUCCGCCCAGACAACCAGGAUGUUGGCUUAGAAGCAGCCAUCCAUUCAAAGAGUGCGUAACAGCUCACUGGUCGAGUGGACAUGCGCCGACAAUACACGGGGCUAAGCUGGACACCGAAGCGGCGGGAUUUUAAUUCAUUAGAAUCGGUAGGGGAGCUUCCCAUGGGCGGAGAAGCCGGAGGGCGACCGACGGUGGAGCGCAUGGGAGUGAGAAUGCUGGCAUGAGUAGCGAGAGACGAGAGAGUAACUCGUCCGCCGUGAACCCGAGGUUUCCUGGGCAAGGCUAAUCCUCCCAGGGUCAGUCGGGGGCUAAGGCGAGGCCGGUAGGCGUAGCCGACGCGCAGCAGGCAGACAUUCCUGCACCGCGCACGCGGCGCUACGACCGACGGGGCGACGGAUGGGGGUGGCUCGGCGGGGUUCUGGACGUCCCCGUGAUGGAGCGCGGCCCGCGGACCAGGGAAAUCCGGUCCGCACGAGGGCGAGGCUCCGGACGAAGCGAUUGAGCGAAGCGAGUGAGCCCGAGGUCCCUAGAAAAACCCCUAGGCAGGCGCGUGCGCGCCCGUACCGCAAACCGACACAGGUGGGUGGGUAGAACAUACCGAGGCGAUCGGGUCAACCAUGGUCAAGGAACUCGGCACAAUGGCCCCGUAACUUCGGGAGAAGGGGUGCCCGCGCGUACGUGAACCGGCUUGCCCGGGGAGCGGAGGCGGGCCGCAGUGGAGAGGCCCAAGCGACUGUUUACCAAAAACACAGGACUCUGCAGAAGCCGCAAGGCGACGUAUAGGGUCUGACGCCUGCCCGGUGCCGGAAGGUCACGCGGAGGAGUUAGCGCAUCGCGCGAAGCCCCGAAGCCAAGCCCCGGUAAACGGCGGCCGUAACUAUAACGGUCCUAAGGUAGCGAAAUUCCUUGUCGGGUAAGUUCCGACCUGCACGAAAGGCGCAACGACUUGGGCGCUGUCUCGACCAUGGACCCGGUGAAAUUGCACUGGUCGUGAAGAUGCGACUUACCCGCGGAAGGACGGAAAGACCCCGUGAACCUUCACUGCAGCUUGGCAUUGGCCGCUGGUCCCGCGUGUAGAGGAUAGGCAGGAGGCAUCGAUCCGGAGGCGCCAGCCCCCGGGGAGCCGCCCUUGGAAUACUGCCCUCGCGCGACCGGCGUCCUAACCCGAGGCCGUCAACCGGCUCGGGGACCGUGCCAGGCGGGCAGUUUGACUGGGGCGGUCGCCUCCUAAAGGGUAACGGAGGCGCGCGAAGGUCCGCUCGGGACGGUCGGCAACCGUCCUUUUGAAUGCAAGAGUACAAGCGGGCUUGACUGCGAGGCCCACAAGCCGAGCAGGUGCGAAAGCAGGCUCUAGUGAUCCGGCGGCCCCGAGUGGGUGGGCCGUCGCUCAACGGAUAAAAGGUACUCCGGGGAUAACAGGCUGAUCUUGCCCAAGAGUCCACAUCGACGGCAAGGUUUGGCACCUCGAUGUCGGCUCAUCGCAUCCUGGGGCUGGAGCAGGUCCCAAGGGUACGGCUGUUCGCCGUUUAAAGCGGUACGCGAGCUGGGUUCAGAACGUCGUGAGACAGUUCGGUCACUAUCCUCCGUGGGCGCAGGAGAAUCGAUGGAGGCUGCCCCCAGUACGAGAGGACCGGGGUGGACGCACCUCCGGUGAACCGGUUGUCGACCAACGGCACGGCCGGGUAGCCGCGUGCGGCGCGGAUAACCGCUGAAGGCAUCUAAGCGGGAAGCCGUUCCAGGGAUUAGUUCUCCUUCCGGUAAGGGCCCAGGUAGACUACCUGGUCGAUAGACGGCAGGUGCAAGGACGGCGACGUCCUCAGCCGAGCCGCACUAAUCGCCCGAGCUCUUCCGGAA
This 2223-nucleotide ribosomal RNA is filed under the name human gut metagenome. Its description in RNAcentral is "bacterial LSU rRNA". It matches the Rfam family "Bacterial large subunit ribosomal RNA", at positions 712 to 2925 of the family's 2925-position model. The record is from RNAcentral.